Molecule: ribosomal RNA, 354 nt
Filed under: Cutibacterium acnes
Lineage: Bacteria; Bacillati; Actinomycetota; Actinomycetes; Propionibacteriales; Propionibacteriaceae
Description: bacterial SSU rRNA
Rfam family: Bacterial small subunit ribosomal RNA
Source: RNAcentral
GACGAACGCUGGCGGCGUGCUUAACACAUGCAAGUCGAACGGAAAGGCCCUGCUUUUGUGGGGUGCUCGAGUGGCGAACGGGUGAGUAACACGUGAGUAACCUGCCCUUGACUUUGGGAUAACUUCAGGAAACUGGGGCUAAUACCGGAUAGGAGCUCCUGCUGCAUGGUGGGGGUUGGAAAGUUUCGGCGGUUGGGGAUGGACUCGCGGCUUAUCAGCUUGUUGGUGGGGUAGUGGCUUACCAAGGCUUUGACGGGAAGCCGGCCUGAGAGGGUGACCGGCCACAUUGGGACUGAGAUACGGCCCAGACUCCUACGGGAGGCAGCAGUGGGGAAUAUUGCACAAUGGGCGGAA